RNAcentral lists this ribosomal RNA (422 nucleotides) under Virgibacillus profundi. RNAcentral's name for it is "bacterial SSU rRNA". It matches the Rfam family "Bacterial small subunit ribosomal RNA", at positions 766 to 1185 of the family's 1533-position model. The record is from RNAcentral. Lineage: Bacteria; Bacillati; Bacillota; Bacilli; Caryophanales; Bacillaceae.
GAGCUAAACAGGAUUAGAUACCCUGGUAGUCCACGCCCUAAACGAUGCGAACUGGAUGUUGGUCUCAACUCGGAGACCAGUGUCGAAGCUAACGCGUUAAGUUCGCCGCCUGGGGAGUACGGUCGCAAGACUGAAACUCAAAGGAAUUGACGGGGGCCCGCACAAGCGGUGGAGUAUGUGGUUUAAUUCGAUGCAACGCGAAGAACCUUACCUGGUCUUGACAUGUCCGGAAUCCUGNAGAGAUGCGGGAGUGCCUUCGGGAAGCGGAACACAGGUGCUGCAUGGCUGUCGUCAGCUCGUGUCGUGAGAUGUUGGGUUAAGUCCCGCAACGAGCGCAACCCUUGUCCUUAGUUGCCAGCACGUAAUGGUGGGAACUCUAAGGAGACCGCCGGUGACAAACCGGAGGAAGGUGGGGAUGACGU